This 510-nucleotide ribosomal RNA is filed under the name uncultured bacterium. RNAcentral describes it as "partial 16S ribosomal RNA". It matches the Rfam family "Bacterial small subunit ribosomal RNA", at positions 28 to 507 of the family's 1533-position model. The record is from RNAcentral.
GACGAACGCUGGCGGCGUGCUUAACACAUGCAAGUCGAACGAAGAGCGAUGGAAGCUUGCUUCUAUCAAUCUUAGUGGCGAACGGGUGAGUAACGCGUAAUCAACCUGCCCUUCAGAGGGGGACAACAGUUGGAAACGACUGCUAAUACCGCAUACGAUUUAAUCUCGGCAUCGAGGAUAGAUGAAAGGUGGCCUCUACAUGUAAGCUAGCACUGAAGGAGGGGAUUGCGUCUGAUUAGCUAGUUGGAGGGGUAAGGGCCCACCAAGGCGAUGAUCAGUAGCCGGUCUGGGAGGAUGAACGGCCACAUUGGGACUGAGACACGGCCCAGACUCCUACGGGAGGCAGCAGUGGGGAAUCUUCCGCAAUGGACGAAAGUCUGACGGAGCAACGCCGCGUGAGUGAUGACGGCCUUCGGGUUGUAAAGCUCUGUUAAUCGGGACGAAAGGCCUUCUUGCGAAUAGUGAGAAGGAUUGACGGUACCGGAAUAGAAAGCCACGGCUAACUACGUG